UAUAGAGUAUCCAUAUGUUUAGCAAUAGAUUGAGAACAAAAGAAAUGAAGCUAAACAAGUAAACAAAUCUUCAUAUAUUUUUAUUUAAAAUCUGAGAGAGCUCAUUUUUCUCGUUCUCUCAUGUUCUGUCCACCUACGGUGUCAGAUUUAACACGACUGGUUGAGCUGAGGUUAGUAUUUAUUUUUAUAAUUUAAAAAUGGACUUGCAUAUGUAAUACAUAAAUAUAUUCCUGUGGUUAAAAAUUCAUACAAUACAUAUGAAUCUAAAUCUGCGUUGACCCCAGUCAAUCUCAUUCCUCUUUUCAGAGGUAUCCAGGUGUGUUAGUUUGCCAUGUGUAACAAAUUUCCACAAAUUUAGCAGCUUAAAACAGGAGCCAUUCGUUGUCUCAGUUCUGAAGGUCAGAAGUCCCGGGGGCCCAGCUGGUUCUCCUGCCCAGGGCUUCACACGGCUGCGUCAAAGUAUCCACCAGAGUCAAGCUUCUCACCUGAGGGGCCGGGGCCCUCUUCCAACCUGGGUGGCUCUCGGCAGAAUUAAUUUCCUUCUCAUGCCCUCUGUGUGGUUUCCUCCAUCUUCAAGCCAGCAAGUCCCCUGUCUUUCUCCUGCUUUGAAUUUUCUCGCACUGCCACCUCUCUCGACUUCCUCUUCCUCAGCAGGACAAACUCUGCUUUUGAAGGGCUCGUGUGAUUCCAUUGGGCCCACGUGGAUGAUUCAAGAAUAACAGAAGCAUUGUCAAAAGAACCAUCCAUCAGAGAAGCUUUGAUGAGUUAGCUCAACCUGUGUGCAAAAACAAAAAUGAAAGUGUAAGAAGCCUCUUCAGGAGCAUGCCGCCAUGACUGCAUAAUGAAAAUUGCUUCCUCUCAGGCCAUGAUUUCUUCUUGGCUAUGUCAUUAAGUCUUAUGAAAACCUUAGUAUUGAGAGCUAAAUGAAAGCUUGUGAGUUUUGGUCUCCCAUUGUGAAUCUAGCUUAUGUUGGAGAAUUAUUUCCUCAGUUAGCCUUCUGAGUGUUAAUAUAUUGCAGAGUUUAAACACAACUGCAUUGGGCAUUUCCAUUUAAAACAGAGCUUUUACAUGAUUCAUGAUGGGUAUUUCACAUUUCCCUCUUUCUAAAGAUCUAGGAAAUUAUUGUACAAGUUGUAAGUAAUGUGUCUGUAAGAACAAAGCAAUAUGUUUUAAACAGCUCAAGAUCAUUCUAUGGAAAGCUCCAUUCUAUCUAAUGCAUAUACACCUUAGCAGCAUUUCUCCUGGGAAAAUGUGAAAUAUGAUGCCCUAUGGAAUUGUAGAUUGGUAAGCCUAAUAUUUGUUGUUCUGAAAAUCCUUUUGUAAGAAGUUAGAAGAAAGUGUAUCCAUCUAAGUGUUAGAAGGGCAGAAUUCUGGGUUCAAUUCCUCUCCUUUUAGCUGUGUGACCUGAGACAAGCCAUGCAACUUCUCUGAGUCCAAAUUUCCUCUUCUUUGAAAUGGGCAAACUAGCUUUUACUCAACAUUCUCCUGAGUUGUAAAAAUCAAAGAAGAUAUUAGAUGAGACCGUGUUUGAAAGCAGCUGUAUACAAAACAAAUGAAAAGUUGAGACAAUCUAGAAAAUAGUGUGAAUUGUUCUAUUUAAUAAACUGAAUAUGUUGUCUUAAUUGCUCAUAGUGGACUCCCACCCUCAUCCCCAGGCUGAGGCCUGCAGUUUGCGUGUUUCAGCCUGUUAUCCCAUCUCCUCCCUUUCAGAGGUUGAUGGUCUGGGGUUAUCAGGAGUUAGGUCGUAGUUCACAAGAGGCGUCAGAUGGAGCCUCGUCAUCAAAAUAACCCAGGAGAUUAUCGGUAGCUACUAACAAUUGGAAGUCCGUGGUUUUCACAGUUGUACCACUUCCUUCUUGUAGUGAAUGUUUUGCUAUAUCCAAGGUCUAAUGGGUUUUGAAGGUGGGACUGAUGAAUUCGUAGGUCUCU
Molecule: long non-coding RNA, 1929 nt
Organism: Equus asinus (donkey)
Lineage: Eukaryota; Metazoa; Chordata; Mammalia; Perissodactyla; Equidae
Source: Ensembl